This is a non-coding RNA of Saccostrea echinata, 134 nucleotides long. RefSeq annotates it as small Cajal body-specific RNA 3. The transcript has a single exon. NCBI's taxonomy places the organism in Eukaryota, Metazoa, Mollusca, Bivalvia, Ostreida, Ostreidae. The record is from RefSeq and is a predicted model, not a curated record.
AUUGGAAGUUGUGCAUAAGUAUUACUGGUAUAGAAAGACAUUCUGUGUCAGUAGACAGACUUCCUACAUAGAACUGAGGAUUCCUGGGAGUUUCAGUGAGACAUGCUGGAGUUCUUCGUUCCCCCUCAAACAUG